This 253-nucleotide ribosomal RNA is filed under the name uncultured bacterium. RNAcentral describes it as "partial 16S ribosomal RNA". It matches the Rfam family "Bacterial small subunit ribosomal RNA", at positions 524 to 776 of the family's 1533-position model. The record is from RNAcentral.
UACAGAGACUGCAAGCGUUAUUCGGAUUCACUGGGCGUAAAGGGUGCGCAGGCGGCCAAGUGUGUGAGGCGUGAAAGCCCGGGGCUUAACCCCGGAAUUGCACCUCAAACUACAUGGCUAGAGCAUUGGAGAGGGUAACAGAAUUCAUGGUGUAGCAGUGAAAUGCGUAGAUAUCAUGAGGAAUACCAGAGGCGAAGGCGGCUACCUGGACAAGCACUGACACUCAACUGCGAAAGCGUGGGGAACAAACAGG